RNAcentral lists this ribosomal RNA (301 nucleotides) under uncultured bacterium. RNAcentral describes it as "partial 16S ribosomal RNA". It matches the Rfam family "Bacterial small subunit ribosomal RNA", at positions 509 to 809 of the family's 1533-position model. The record is from RNAcentral.
CAGUCGCCGCGGUAAUACAGAGGUCUCAAGCGUUGUUCGGAUUCAUUGGGCGUAAAGGGUGCGUAGGCGGUCGGGUAAGUCGGAUGUGAAAUCCUGGGGCUCAACCUCAGAACUGCAUUCGAUACUGCUUGGCUAGAGGACUGGAGAGGAGACUGGAAUUCACGGUGUAGCAGUGAAAUGCGUAGAUAUCGUGAGGAAGACCAGCGGCGAAGGCGGGUCUCUGGACAGUUCCUGACGCUGAUGCACGAAGGCCAGGGGAGCAAACGGGAUUAGAUACCCCGGUAGUCCUGUCUCUUAUACA